GAUGAAGAACGCAGCGAAAUGCGAUAAGUAAUGUGAAUUGCAGAAUUCAGUGAAUCAUCGAAUCUUUGAACGCACAUUGCGCCCGCCAGUAUUCUGGUGGGCAUGCCUGUUCGAGCGUCAUUUCAACCAUCAAGCCCCCGGCUUGUGUUGGGGACCUGCGGCUGCCGCAGGCCCUGAAAACCAGUGGCGGGCUCGCUAGUCACUCCGAGCGUAGUAAUACAUCUCGCUCAGGGCGUGCUGCGGGUUCCGGCCGUUAAAAAGCCUUAUUUACCCAAGGUUGACCUCGGAUCAGGUAGGAAGACCCGCUGAACUUAAGCAUAUCAAUAAGCGGAGGA
This 335-nucleotide unclassified non-coding RNA is filed under the name soil metagenome. RNAcentral describes it as "partial contains 5.8S ribosomal RNA, internal transcribed spacer 2, and large subunit ribosomal RNA". The stretch from base 1 to 120 matches the Rfam family "5.8S ribosomal RNA", at positions 35 to 154 of the family's 154-position model. The record is from RNAcentral.